RNAcentral lists this ribosomal RNA (287 nucleotides) under uncultured bacterium. RNAcentral's name for it is "partial 16S ribosomal RNA". It matches the Rfam family "Bacterial small subunit ribosomal RNA", at positions 333 to 617 of the family's 1533-position model. The record is from RNAcentral.
UUGGACCUACGGGGCGCAGCAGUGAGGAAUAUUGGUCAAUGGGCGAGAGCCUGAACCAGCCACGUCGCGUGAGGGAAGACGGUCCUAUGGAUUGUAAACCUCUUUUGCCGGGGAGCAAAAAGCGGUACGUGUACCGCAUCGAGAGUACCCGGAGAAAAAGCAUCGGCUAACUACGUGCCAGCAGCCGCGGUAAUACGUAGGGGGCAAGCGUUAUCCGGAUUUACUGGGUGUAAAGGGAGCGCAGACGGCAGCGCAAGUCCGGGGUGAAAGCCCGCGGCCCAACCGCG